AACGAAGCCCUCAGCAGGUGCUGACGGGUACAACUUCCUGGAGAAGCAGAAGAAGGGCACUGGUGCCGAACACGAAUUGUAAACUGUGAAGUAACUACUAUGGAAAAGAUUAAGUAAAGCAUUGGAGGCGGAUGAUUUUGACAAUAAAGAGGGUGUAUGUGACAGUGAAUGCCUCAGGUGGUGGAUUGAGGAAAAAAAAAAAUUGUCAGCAGACCUACACACAACCUGUCAACAGCAGAAAGAGUGGAUUUGAGUCUCCUGCCAGAAAUCUGAAAAGGAUGCAUUUGUGGAGCAUCAGUACAAGUAUAGACACCAGAACAAAGGUUUUUCACCGUUUGAAAUUACUCCAGAUUUUAAAAUUAAAUACAGCAAAAUAGAAAAAAAAUUCUAAAUACUUCAA
RNAcentral lists this long non-coding RNA (400 nucleotides) under Anser brachyrhynchus (Pink-footed goose). RNAcentral describes it as "lncRNA (ENSABRG00000006024.1)". Lineage: Eukaryota; Metazoa; Chordata; Aves; Anseriformes; Anatidae. The record is from RNAcentral.